UGACCAAAACACCAAAAGCAUUGGCAGCAAGCGCCAAAGUGGACAUAUGGGAUGUAAUCGAACUCCACAACUUCUGCACGGCAAAGGAAACAGUCCUGAGAGUGAAGCGGGAACCAACAGAAUGGGAAAAAAAUUUUGUAGUCUACCCAUCUGACAAAGGGCUGAUGUCCAGAGUUUACAAAGAACUAGAACAGAUUUACAAGAAAAAACCAAAUAAGCCCAUUCAAAGGUGGGCGAAGGAUAUGAAAAGACACUUUACACAAU
This is a long non-coding RNA of Sapajus apella (tufted capuchin), 264 nucleotides long. RefSeq lists it as uncharacterized. Lineage: Eukaryota; Metazoa; Chordata; Mammalia; Primates; Cebidae. The transcript has 3 exons. The record is from RefSeq and is a predicted model, not a curated record.